RNAcentral lists this ribosomal RNA (464 nucleotides) under uncultured bacterium. Its description in RNAcentral is "partial 16S ribosomal RNA". It matches the Rfam family "Bacterial small subunit ribosomal RNA", at positions 339 to 795 of the family's 1533-position model. The record is from RNAcentral.
CUACGGGCCGCUGCAGUGAGGAAUUUUGCGCAAUGGGGGAAACCCUGACGCAGCAACGCCGCGUGAGCGAAGAAGGCCCUCGGGUCGUAAAGCUCUGUCAAGUGGGAAAAAAAUUUUUUGAUCAAUAGUCAAAAGACUUGAUGGUACCACUGGAGGAAGCACCGGCUAACUCCGUGCCAGCAGCCGCGGUAAUACGGAGGGUGCAAGCGUUGUUCGGAUUUACUGGGCGUAAAGAGCGUGUAGGCGGUUUAGCAAGUCAGAUGUGAAAGCCCUGGGCUCAACCCGGGAAGUGCAUUUGAAACUGCUUCACUAGAGUAUGGGAGAGGAGAUUGGAAUUCCUGGUGUAGAGGUGAAAUUCGUAGAUAUCAGGAGGAACACCCGUGGCGAAGGCGAUUCUCUGGACCAAUACUGACGCUGAGACGCGAAGGCGUGGGGAGCAAACAGGAUUAGAUACCCCUGUAGUC